GGCGAGCUGGUUAGAGCGAACGACUCAUAAUCGUUAGGUCCCCGGUUCAAGUCCGGGCAUCGCCA
RNAcentral lists this transfer RNA (65 nucleotides) under Deinococcus sp. RL. It matches the Rfam family "tRNA". From Rfam's summary of the family: Transfer RNA (tRNA) molecules are approximately 80 nucleotides in length. Their secondary structure includes four short double-helical elements and three loops (D, anti-codon, and T loops). Further hydrogen bonds mediate the characteristic L-shaped molecular structure. tRNAs have two regions of fundamental functional importance: the anti-codon, which is responsible for specific mRNA codon recognition, and the 3' end, to which the tRNAs corresponding amino acid is attached (by aminoacyl-tRNA synthetases). tRNAs cope with the degeneracy of the genetic code in two manners: having more than one tRNA (with a specific anti-codon) for a particular amino acid; and 'wobble' base-pairing, i.e. permitting non-standard base-pairing at the 3rd anti-codon position. The record is from Rfam by way of RNAcentral. Lineage: Bacteria; Thermotogati; Deinococcota; Deinococci; Deinococcales; Deinococcaceae.